Molecule: long non-coding RNA, 1446 nt
Organism: Tachysurus vachellii
Lineage: Eukaryota; Metazoa; Chordata; Actinopteri; Siluriformes; Bagridae
Exons: 4
Source: RefSeq, a predicted model, not a curated record
UGUUCCCACAGAUCAUUCUAAAGCUUUUCAUGGCUGUGUUAGACUGAGUGAGGAGAACACACACCUCCUGUCCUGUAUUUCACUACUGUUUCAGCACACACUCAGUCACUUCCUCUCAAUAAUCAACACUCAAUCCUCAUCUAAGAGCCUUGUGAUGUGAUAAAGUACUGAAAUGGUUCUUAACCAAUAACUCUGAUCUGACAUUGAUAAAAUAUCUUCACUUUCCAUUUCCAGUUGAUUAAAACAUUAUAAAUGUAGAAUAAAUGAAAGUGACCCAGUGUUUGUGAUCCUUUCACUCUGAACAGGGUUUCAUGGAAAAAAGCAGUACAUUAGGAUGGAAAAAGGAACCUGGUUAGAUUUUAAUGACAUGACAAGGGGGUGUGUCUAAAGUACAGGGCUUUUCUUAAUCUGGUGUGAGCUCCAGUUCUAAACAUCUCUUAUUGUUCCUGGAUAAACUUUAAUAAAACACUUCAUAUUAUUAUAGCAGCACAACACUGAUUAUUAUUUAAGGAUCAGUGAUGACAUCAUCUGCAUGUAUGGCUGAAAAAAACUGAACAAUAUCAGUAAAUGUAGUCUGAUGUUUGAUAGAUUUUCUUUGAGGACACGUUUUCCUCAGCGCUGUACUGAUAUCUCUGUGUGGUUUAAUGUGUGUUUUAGAGGUCAGUGUUAAUGAGAGAGGAUCUUCAUCAGAGGAUUCAGACUCAGACCAGACUGGAGGGAACAACUGGAUUAUUAUAUGUGUUGUGAUCGUAAUCUUCAUCAUCAUCAUCAUCUGUGUGUCUGUGUACUACAGCAGGGUGAAAGGUCACAGACGUGCCACUGACUCCACUGAACAGAAUGAAAAUGUUCAUUGUGACACUGAGCUGCAUGACACUGAGCUGCAUGACAUAAGGGCCAGAAAAUCCCCUAUGAAAAACAAAGAAUCAGAUCUGGACAGUGUGACUUACACGGCAGUCGACACACAACCACAGAGUUAACGACCAACACAAGAUGGUCUGCUCUGAUCUCGUCAUGGAUUUCAGAUCAUCUUAAACUUCACCCCUGAGCCACUGAGCUGAUGUUCAUCUCUGGAGCUUCAUCACCAUGUCAGGAUCUUCUGAUUUACUGCAGAACUCUCAGAUCACACAUCAUGGACCAUCAGUUACUCUUCUAUCUAACCUGACUUGGUCUUGGUCAUGUGAUGUUACACUAAAUAAUGAACUGUGAACAGCAGGAAUUUUUACAUUUAUAUUUUUAUUUGUUGUUUAUUUUGAUGUAGUUUGUUGUGUUUACAUUGCAGCAGUAAACACAGUAUGUACAAUGGCUGAAGUCAUGUGUAGGAACUUUAUAGUUGUGGAGGAAUCUGGGUUCAGUUCCUCAGUAAUAUCAUGUACUGCUACUGAAGUUUUAUUACAGGGGUGUUUCUUUACUAAAUCUUUACUUUUUUAAAAUAUAAUAAUAAAUAAU